AGUGAACGCUGGCGGUAGGCCUAACACAUGCAAGUCGAACGGCAGCACAGUAAGAGCUUGCUCUUACGGGUGGCGAGUGGCGGACGGGUGAGGAAUACAUCGGAAUCUACUUUUUCGUGGGGGAUAACGUAGGGAAACUUACGCUAAUACCGCAUACGACCUACGGGUGAAAGCAGGGGAUCUUCGGACCUUGCGCGAUUGAAUGAGCCGAUGUCGGAUUAGCUAGUUGGCGGGGUAAAGGCCCACCAAGGCGACGAUCCGUAGCUGGUCUGAGAGGAUGAUCAGCCACACUGGAACUGAGACACGGUCCACACUCCUACGGGAGGAAGCAGUGGGGAAUAUUGGACAAUGGGCGCAAGCCUGAUCCAGCCAUACCGCGUGGGUGAAGAAGGCCUUCGGGUUGUAAAGCCCUUUUGUUGGGAAAGAAAAGCAGCAGGUUAAUACCCCGCUGUUCUGACGGUACCCAAAGAAUAAGCACCGGCUAACUUCGUG
This 492-nucleotide ribosomal RNA is filed under the name uncultured bacterium. RNAcentral's name for it is "partial 16S ribosomal RNA". It matches the Rfam family "Bacterial small subunit ribosomal RNA", at positions 29 to 507 of the family's 1533-position model. The record is from RNAcentral.